GACGAACGCUGGCGGCGUGCUUAACACAUGCCAGUCGAACGGAAAGGCCCUGCUUUUGUGGGGUGCUCGAGUGGCGAACGGGUGAGUAACACGUGAGUAACCUGCCCUUGACUUUGGGAUAACUUCAGGAAACUGGGGCUAAUACCGGAUAGGAGCUCCUGCUGCAUGGUGGGGGUUGGAAAGUUUCGGCGGUUGGGGAUGGACUCGCGGCUUAUCAGCUUGUUGGUGGGGUAGUGGCUUACCAAGGCUUUGACGGGUAGCCGGCCUGAGAGGUUGACCGGCCAAAUUGGGACUGAGAUGCGGACCAGACUCCUACGGGAGGCAGCAGUGGGGAAUAUUGCACAAUGGGCGGAAGCCUGAUGCAGCAACGCCGCGUGCGGGAUGACGGCCUUCGGGUUGUAAACCGCUUUCGCCUGUGACGAAGCGUGAGUGACGGUAAUGGGUAAAGAAGCACCGGCUAACUACGUG
RNAcentral lists this ribosomal RNA (468 nucleotides) under uncultured bacterium. RNAcentral's name for it is "partial 16S ribosomal RNA". It matches the Rfam family "Bacterial small subunit ribosomal RNA", at positions 28 to 507 of the family's 1533-position model. The record is from RNAcentral.